AAACCAACAGGGAUUGCCUUAGUAACGGCGAGUGAAGCGGCAACAGCUCAAAUUUGAAAUCUGGCUUCGGCCCGAGUUGUAAUUUGCAGAGGAUGUUUAUGGUGCAGUACCUACCGAGUUCCCUGGAACGGGACGCCACAGAGGGUGAGAGCCCCGUCUGGUUGGAUACUAAACCUGUGUUAAACUCCUUCAACGAGUCGAGUAGUUUGGGAAUGCUGCUCUAAAUGGGAGGUAAAUCUCUUCUAAAGCUAAAUACCGGCCAGAGACCGAUAGCGCACAAGUAGAGUGAUCGAAAGAUGAAAAGCACCUUGAAAAGGGGGUUAAACAGUACGUGAAAUUGUUGAAAGGGAAGCGAUUAUGACCAGACUUGUGCCGUGUGGCUCAUCCGAGGUUCUCCCCGGUGCACUCCACACGGCUCAGGCCAACAUCGGUUUUCGUUGGGGGAUAAGAAUAGUAGGAACGUAGCUUUCUUCGGAGAGUGUUAUAGCCUAUUAUACGAUACCCUGACGGGGACCGAGGACCGCGCUUCGGCUAGGAUGUUGGCGUAAUGGUCAUUACCGAC
This 562-nucleotide ribosomal RNA is filed under the name uncultured Gnomonia. Its description in RNAcentral is "eukaryotic LSU rRNA". It matches the Rfam family "Eukaryotic large subunit ribosomal RNA", at positions 62 to 648 of the family's 3401-position model. Lineage: Eukaryota; Fungi; Ascomycota; Sordariomycetes; Diaporthales; Gnomoniaceae. The record is from RNAcentral.